RNAcentral lists this ribosomal RNA (1479 nucleotides) under Triticum aestivum (bread wheat). RNAcentral's name for it is "partial small subunit ribosomal RNA". Lineage: Eukaryota; Viridiplantae; Streptophyta; Magnoliopsida; Poales; Poaceae. The record is from RNAcentral.
AUGACGAAGAAAAGACGUCGUCGCAGACGCAAUGUAAAUGCAGCACAGAAAGCAACUCGCAACAACGACGAAGAAGACGGAGACAGGCUUAGCAAGCUGCUUGACGACCUUCUGCUCAACAUUCUGGAGAGGGCGGACACACUCGAUGCAGUAAGGGCCUGCGUCCUCUCGAGGCGAAUGAUGAAGCUCAUCACCAUGCUCUCGCGGUUCUUCCUAAGCUGCAGCUCCGUUCCAGGCCACCAGGACAGCGCUCGUAUUUUCGACCCCACUGAAUUUUUCAGAAUCAACAGCGCCGUGGCUCAUGUAACGGACAACAUCUUGAGCACAAGGAGCCCGGAGAUCACCAUCAGCAAGCUCCAAAUCAGAUUCAUCCUGACGCAACGUGAUUCUUACACGAUUGGCGAAUCCGUCGCCCACGCCAUGGCAACGCAGAAGGUCGGCGCGGCUGAGUUUCAGAUCUUGACAGAGAAGGCUUAUCUGGAGAGCACUCCUGCCGAUCUUCUCGACCAUGCCAAGAAGUUCAAUGGUUUUCUCAGUGCUUGCCCUGAUGCGUUUGCCGGCCUCAGGCGCCUGUGGCUGCGCAACAUGAGGUUUGCUGAACCGGACAUACCCAACAUCCUCAGCGCUUGCAAGCUCUUGGAGUCUCUGCAUCUGACCCACUGCGACUCGGGGAAGAAUUCCGUGCUGCGGCUGGAACAUGCUCAGCUUACCGAGCUCGAGGUCAAGGUUGGGAAAUUUGAGACAGUUGAGCUGGCAUGUCUACCAAAACUCCAAAGGGUGAGCUAUAACAAUUGGUUCAACUCCCAUAAAGAUCCCCUGUAUUUGGGUUUUGUACCACAGCUUUCAAAGCUGUGGCUUGCUAAAACUGGCCGCCGAUCGACUAGGACUCUAAAGUUAAGUCAGCUCCUUGGUAAUGUUCCUUCCAUAAGCGAUCUGCAUAUGGAUUUUCAAAGUGAAAAGAUUUGGGUUCUGCCAGAAAGCCCGAAGCUGCUCAAGCCUGUGCUCAGCAAACUACAGCACGUGAAUCUGGACAAUCUUCCUGAAGGAUGUGAUUUAGCUUGGACAAUGUUUAUUCUUGAAGCUGCGCCGUCCCUAAAAGAGCUGUGCAUCACGGUAUGGGAUCAUUGGUGCAAUAUGGCGAUGAGAGACAAAGAGUUUCGGGAGAGAAAUGGUUACUGUGAAAAGGUAGACGUGGAGUGGAAGCCACAUGCCCCUGAUUUCAAGCACAAGAACCUGGUUAAGCUCACCAUCUACGGCUUCCAAGCAGAUGGCAUCUUUGUGCGAUUCAUCAGGUGUGUCAUGGAACAUGCGGUUAAUAUGGCAGAGAUAUCUCUGCAUGACAGGAAGGUGUGUCUGCACUGUGGUGACUUGGAUCCCGAGAUGAAGUGCCCAUCGAGAUAUCCAUGGAACGCUGAUGAGCGCAUGCAGAUCAUUGAAGAAUUGGGGUGUCUUUGCCUGCCAUGGUUCGCUUCCUGUCGU